UACAGAGGGUGCGAGCGUUAAUCGGAAUUACUGGGCGUAAAGCGCGCGUAGACGGCUUUGUAAGUCGGAUGUGAAAUCCCCGGGCUCAACCUGGGAACUGCAUUCGAAACUGCACUGCUAGAGUAUGGAAGAGGGAAGUGGAAUUUCCGGUGUAGCGGUGAAAUGCGUAGAUAUCGGGAGGAACACCUGUGGCGAAAGCGGCGCACUGGACCACAACUGAUGCUGAGGCGCGAAAGCGUGGGGAGCGAACAGG
This 253-nucleotide ribosomal RNA is filed under the name uncultured bacterium. RNAcentral's name for it is "partial 16S ribosomal RNA". It matches the Rfam family "Bacterial small subunit ribosomal RNA", at positions 524 to 776 of the family's 1533-position model. The record is from RNAcentral.